UGGCAUACCUGUAAAGCACUCAGCUGCUAACUGAAAGGUCGGUGGUUCAAACCCACC
RNAcentral lists this transfer RNA (57 nucleotides) under Loxodonta africana (African savanna elephant). Lineage: Eukaryota; Metazoa; Chordata; Mammalia; Proboscidea; Elephantidae. The record is from Rfam by way of RNAcentral.